Vicia villosa (hairy vetch) is the source of this 456-nucleotide long non-coding RNA. RefSeq lists it as uncharacterized. NCBI's taxonomy places the organism in Eukaryota, Viridiplantae, Streptophyta, Magnoliopsida, Fabales, Fabaceae. The record is from RefSeq and is a predicted model, not a curated record. The transcript is spliced from 3 exons.
AAAUGUUGGUAUGACGUCGCGGCCAGUAACUGAUUCAUUCAGCCAGGUUGUGAAGAACAAGAAUGGAAAAAGAGGUCGCAUUGGUGGAAGUAGUGUGCAAAAUAAAUGUACAGAACCACCGAACUCUCGUGGCGCGAAUGUGACAGCGACUUCUCGUGCGGAAGUUGGAAGCACAAGCAUACCCAUGCCUGCAAUGUAUGGAUUGCAACCCGUGUUGCCAGCGGUACAACCGAUGUUGCAUCCAAUGCAUGUACAACCGUUAAUCCCACUAUAUCCAACGACAGUUGCGGAAAAUUCGGGUUCGUGUUUCGGUAGGCCACAACGACUGAUGAACAAUGGUGGUACUUGAACGAGCAAAUAAGUAGCUGUAAUUUGACCAGGCAUGACUUUGGAGGUGAUUUUUAGUGGAUGGAUGAACAAUGGGCUGAGUAUUUAGGUAAUUACGUUUACGAUGAG